This 310-nucleotide ribosomal RNA is filed under the name Phenacogrammus interruptus (Congo tetra). RNAcentral describes it as "partial 12S ribosomal RNA". It matches the Rfam family "Bacterial small subunit ribosomal RNA", at positions 868 to 1344 of the family's 1533-position model. The record is from RNAcentral. Lineage: Eukaryota; Metazoa; Chordata; Actinopteri; Characiformes; Alestidae.
UUCGCCAGGGGACUACGAGCGCUAGCUUAAAACCCAAAGGACUUGACGGUGUUUCACCUCCGCCUAGAGGAGCCUGUUCUAGAACCGAUAACCCUCGUUUAACCUCACCAUCCCUUGCUCCUGCCGCCUAUAUACCGCCGUCGCAAGCUUACCCUGUGAAGGCCCUACAGUAAGCAUAAUGGGUUCAGCCCAGAACGUCAGGUCGAGGUGUAGCUUACGAGAUGGAAAGAAAUGGGCUACAUUUUCUAUCACAGAAUAUAACGAAUUACACCAUGAAAUGGGUGCCUGAAGGUGGAUUUAGCAGUAAAAA